Molecule: transfer RNA, 89 nt
Filed under: Cytophagia bacterium
Lineage: Bacteria; Pseudomonadati; Bacteroidota; Cytophagia
Description: tRNA-Ser
Rfam family: tRNA
About the family: Transfer RNA (tRNA) molecules are approximately 80 nucleotides in length. Their secondary structure includes four short double-helical elements and three loops (D, anti-codon, and T loops). Further hydrogen bonds mediate the characteristic L-shaped molecular structure. tRNAs have two regions of fundamental functional importance: the anti-codon, which is responsible for specific mRNA codon recognition, and the 3' end, to which the tRNAs corresponding amino acid is attached (by aminoacyl-tRNA synthetases). tRNAs cope with the degeneracy of the genetic code in two manners: having more than one tRNA (with a specific anti-codon) for a particular amino acid; and 'wobble' base-pairing, i.e. permitting non-standard base-pairing at the 3rd anti-codon position.
Source: RNAcentral
GGAAGGAUGGCCGAGAGGAUUAAGGCAGCUGUUUACUAAACAGCCGAUCUGAAUAAGGUCCGGGGGUUCGAAUCCCUCUCCUUCCGCCA